Molecule: long non-coding RNA, 6009 nt
Organism: Equus caballus (horse)
Lineage: Eukaryota; Metazoa; Chordata; Mammalia; Perissodactyla; Equidae
Source: Ensembl
CAGGAGCAGCCUCGGUAGGCAGGAUUGCUGUCCCAUGGGUUUCUACACCUUUCCUGGCUCUGUGGACAGCAUCACAAGUCCGAGAAGCUUUGGAAAGAGAGGCCAGUGCUAGGCUGUUUUAUCUGUUUGUGGGGGCUGGGGGUGAAUGAGAGGCCUUCUUGAGGUCUCUUCCAGCCAAGCACCUCCUGGAUAACCGCACUGAGUCGCUUCCCUUCAGAGCCUCAGUGAGCAGAAGCUAACAUUCCCAACAGGCAGCCUCAGUUUGAGCAGAGCCGAACAGCCCGACGGGCGGGCGAGGCCUGUCAUCCGUCCUGUCUGGCCACAUUCAUUCCGGGCUGUCCUGCUUUGUGGCUUCCUCACCACCACCCAAACUUGUCUGCAUGUCCUACAUCCAUCCAGAUCAGCAGAGAUGGCAGAAAUACUCCCUCAGGCCCUGCACACUCCUGGACGCACAGACCCGUCCUUCUUCUCAACAGGACUCCUGUCUCCUCCCGUCGCCCGUCCUCCAAGCCAGCCCUGAUUCCGACCGACGCUGCAAACACCCCACGACCCUGCAAUGGAGAAGCUCUAGUGCAACUCUGCCACUACCAGCCAAGAGACCUUGCAUAGCCAGGACUGUUGCCACCUAAAGUACUAGAUGUGAUCUUGCCCUCACCCUCAGACCCUGUGACCUUCCUGCCUUGGUACCAGGAUCCUGGCCUGACCACAGCCUCAACAUCCACACCCUCUCUGGGCUGGACCAACUCCUGCAAGUCGGGUGUGGCAACAGAUCAGACAGGUAUAACUAGGGGGUUGUUCUGGUAUUAACGAACUGGGUUGAUCUUGAACAAGUUGCUUCACCUUCUUAAGCCUCAGUUUCCUCAUAUGUAAAAUAGGGAUAAGAAUGGUUCUACUUCAUACGCGUAGGACUACUGUGGAUUAAAUGAGAAGUGUAUGUAAAACACUUAGCACAGUUAGGUAUUAAUGACAAUGAUAAUGAGGGUGACAAUAAUUCCCAAUCCCACUCCACCAGGACAUUUUGAGGACUUCAGCCAGAGGUGGCCAGAGGAGAGCCCUGUCUUGGCUCUAAACUGGGUCUUCUUCCUCUUUCCUGUUAGGAACUUUAUCCCUACUGCCACAUACUCCAUAAUCAUAUCCUGGCAUCCUGGCUGACCUGCUUACUGCAGAGAGCAAUAAAACGUUUCUCCCAACGAUUCACAGAAUUCAACACCUUGACUUUUAUUUUCUUAACAUUUGUUUCUCUUCUUUCUGUAGCUUGAAUGAGUCUGUUACCGCAAGAUGAGGGCCUCUUGCACCUGACUCCCUCGGAAUGCCCAUCCCUUGAUGCCUCCAGGCUCCAGCAGUGGAGGGUCGGGGAGCUCAGAUUUUAGAAAGGAUGGAGGAUCCUGGAAGAUUUCCUCCUCCUCGACCAGAAAGAGAAAACAGGAAUCCAAGUUGGAAAAUUCAGUUCUCAAUGAACAUAAUGACCUUCAUAAUUUUCUUCUCUGUAGCAGAUAUUUUGAUGGCUAUUCCCAAGGACUUCACGUUUAUGCAAGAUAACUGGUCUGACAUUCCUGUGUUAUCAAAUCUCCCUUCAGACACUUCCAGAAUCUGGAGAGUGGUUGUGAGCUGAUAACACUGUAGGAGUGCUAGUACCAACAAUGACUUUGGAUCUUGGGGUCCUCGUACCCUCAUGAAAUAGCCCUGUUCACCUUGUAGAACUGUGUCUUCUCUCCUUGGAAAUGUUUAAUGUCUGGCUGUCACGGCCAGUUUUACUAUUUAGGACAUGCGCACAUACAUCAACCUUAGGCAGAGCAUUAAGAAGAGAGAAUCCUUGUCUCCAUCUUUUCCCUUUCACUUCCCAAUUCCCCAGGCAUCAAUGCCCCGAUUCCUUUCCCCAGGGUUUAUCUCAAAGCAUGAAGACCAGGCAUGCUGUGGUUGGGCCAGCCAGGAUGCCAUUUACUCCACCAGAGGGAAGAGUCAAUGCACUGAGGACAAUUCCUGUAACUUUUCAGCACCUGAGGGUGUCGGAGAAGAAUGUGGUGAGACCAUCCAUCCAUGCUUCUGUGUCUUAUCCUCCCUGGACAUGCCAUCCGUGGACUUCAAAUCCGUCUCCGUGGGAAGCAAGCCCCAGGUUGUGCGUCUAUCGCAAACCGCGUCUCCAUCUUUGCGAACCAAGCUCAGUUUACUUUCACGUAUACAAAUGGGGCUGCUGGCCAGAGGCCUCCCAGGGAUUUCAGCGCGUGUGCUACUGACAGCAAUUCUCUCUCUCACUGAUUUAGAACGUCCACCUUGGUAUGGCAUGCAUCUACUUCUUAACCUUUAUUUACUUUGAAUGUUGAUCCCAGCACACCAUUUGCAGAAAACACAAAGGUGUUUCAAAAGAGCUGACAGGACCUAGUGGCUUGACACCCAGGUCUCCUGUCUUACCGGUCAACUAAGAGUAGCAGCAAUGCAGCUGAUGGAAAUAUCACGCCCAUGAGAGUCAGACCAACUGGUUAAACUCUUGGCUCUGCCAUGUGGAAGCUGUGUGGCUUAGCACUGAUUUCUACUGGGAACAAGUUUCUACUCCAUUCCCACGCCACAGUCAGAGAGUUGAGGGGGCAAAUAGGUCUUUACCCGGAAGCCCUGGAAACCUGAUCGCACGGUUGGCUGUGUGCCACCUGGUGGUGGAAAGAGGUAAAGCAGCAUCCUGAGGACAGAGUUUUGGAGCAAGAGGGACUUUUUAAAAUGACUUUAAUCUUGCCCCCUUAUUUUCAAUGGAGGAAAUUCAGGCUUAGAGAGAAUGACCGGCUUGUCUGAGUUCUCACAGGGGUAGAGUGUUGUGGUUAAGAGCAAGCAUUCUGGCGUCGCUGUGUCUGAAUCCAGCCUUGGCAGUCAGGAGCUGGCAGUGUAACCUUGGGCAAGUUUUGUAACUUCUCAGUAAUCAGGUUUCUUAUCUAUGAAAUCAUGCUCGCCACCUCAAGGGUUUUUAAGAUGACUAAAUUAGACAAUGCGUGUAGAAGUGCUUAGAACUGUGCCUGACUUCGGUAAGAGAUAAAUCUCUUACAGCAAUUUAUCCAUCUUCAAUAAUUUUCCCUACAAUGGAGAACACUCUUGCGAUUUCUCAUUCUGACCUGAGAGUAGGAGAAUGAAGAAUCGUAAAGACCAUAGAAGAAAGCAGCAGCAGAUAUCUGGCUUUCGGAGGGAACAUUUGACUCUGGUCUUUGAGUAAAGGGAGAGUGGAAGCUGCCAUUGGAUGCCAUUGUGGCUCAAAUUCAUCACCGCAGAUUCAAUGCCUUGGGUACUCUAUCAAUAUUUGCUAAAUGAGUGAAGGGAAAGGGGCCUGAGCACAGGGCUUGUGGACAGGAGUGACUCUUGUCUCAGAAAAGAGAGAUAGGAAAGAGAACUCAGAGAAGUCUCAUUUGGCCCUGUCCACUUGUGGCCCCAAAGGCCAGCUGGGAACCACUGCAGCAGGAAUUUCUCUGGCUUCCUCUGUUCUUAUAGUAAUGACAUUUACAAAGCCCACUUACUUAAUGCUACAGAUACCGUAUUCUUUCAAUAAGUGUGGACACCUUCAUCCUGUCUGUGGCUGGUCUGGCAGUUCCAUUGAAAACAGGACAGGUGAACCCUGCCAGAAGCCAGGGAGACAGGAGGGAAGAAAGGAAAUGAAUACCUCCACCUCUUUCUCCUCCUUCUCUCUAAUCUACUAAUGGUGCCUCCCAUGGGUCUGACCCAAGUCAGAGCCAGGGGCCAAGGAGCCCAGGUGAUGCAGCCCAGAGCCGUCAGCCUGCCAGGCUGAGGAACAGCUCAGAACACGGAUCCGAGGGAGCAAUGGAGAAGAAUAUGCACAGCUCGUACAUAUGCAUAGGAAGUUUAAAUUUUUCUGUUAUUUAUAUAUUCAACAGUACCUCUCUCAAUUUGAAGAAGUUCUUUAUAACCUCAUCUUAUGGUAUUGUAUUUCCACUCGUGGUGAAAAAAAAAAAGGAUUUUUUUCCCUUUAUCCUUCCCCAAUCCCUUUGCUUAUUCUCCUCCAAGUUCUUGUUGUGGCUCACACCCAGUAUCCACUAUGAUGGUGGAUAUUAGGAACUUAGAUGGAAAUGGAUAGAGAAACAGACAAGUGCACUUUUCUAGAACAUUCCUCACCUUCCCCAACCUUCAGUUUGUUCUCAGGGGCCUGCCCAUGAUGCUGGUGCCUAUGCAGAGUCAAGGAGGGAAAGAUGGAAAGAGGGUGAAGUGGGAGACUCAUGGAGAAGGAAAAGGAGAGAAAGGCUCGAUGGUGUCCUGAUUUGCAGUAGGCACCAUAGCUAAGGUUCCUUCACUCUAUUUCUAUAGGCCCAUGGACCCACUCAUUGAAUCAAUUAAUAUUUAUUGAAUAUAUAAUUGGGCCAGACACCGUGCUAAGCACUGAUGAGCAAUGCACAGCCCUGCCUGUAGGGAUCUUAGAGUCUACUUAUAUUUCACUGGUGCUGACAGUGUACAGCAGUUCACACGUAUCACCCGAUACAGGAUGUGCCCGAGACAGGAUGGAGCCCUGAGGAGGGCACUGAAAAGUUAGGGGAGGCUUCCUGAGUUGACUCUUAGGAACCGAGUAUGGGGCCAAGAGAUGAACAGAUGAAGGGAGCGGAGGGAGGAGAGGACGCACUGGCAGAAGGGAGAUCUUGUGCAAAGGCACAAAACAGCCAGAAGAGUUUGAGGCUGUUCUGGGAGACUGGGGCAAAGCGUGUAGGAAGCCCGGAGAGGAGGCUCAGUUGAAGUAGGCAGGUCCCAGAGCACCUGAAGGAUACGGUAAGUACUUCGAUUUUAUUCUGAGGAGAACAGGAAGGCAUCAAAGAGUUCCUCUCAGAGAGUAACUUGGCAAACACCAGUGUUAAAAACAAUCAUGGCGGCCGUAGUGAGGAGGCUGAGUGGGGCUGAGAAAUGGGAGUAGAGGGCUCUUACAGUAAACUGGGCAACUGAUGGCAAAUCCUGACCUUAGCUGGCUGCAAUCAGAGACUGGGAAUAAGGGAUGACACAGUCCAUAAAGAGAGGGCGGAGAGAGACGGCAUCCAGGAACAUCAGCUUCAGUUUCUGCCUCAAGUAAUUUGUCUUUUCCGCUUACACAAAAUUACUCCGUGAAUUUUGCUCCCUGUUUCAGUUAAAUGCAACACGGAGAGGAGAGAAAACCCUUUCUAGAUAAACAUCUAUUCCUUACAGAACCCACAGUCUCUACUGUCUACUUUGUUUAUGAAUUUCUACUUGAUUAUCAGAGAGAUGUGACUCUGAUCACAUCAAGCCCUUGAGGGCUUGUUCUUGGCAACACUAAGUCCCGUGGAAACUCUUGCUGGAACAAUCCAGUGCUCCCAAGCUCCCAGGUUAGGGUGUGAUGUGUGUCUCUGCCCAGACGCCUUGAGUGCGGGCAGCAACGCAGACCAUUGCCUUCAGCAAGGCGAAGGGGAUCCUGGCUGUAUGGUUUUUACCAUUUUCCAUCUUUAAUUGGAUGACUUUCUUUUAAAAUUCUUCCAGUUCGUUGAUGUGGAACAGCUACAGUUAAAACAUGUUCCACAAACUGACUCAACAAGCUUACCUGGUUUAUCAUUGACUGGCUCCGUGUCAAACCCCUAAGUUUAUAUCUGUCCCCCGGAGACUGGACAUGGACUCCAUUUGUAGAAAAGAGCUAUUUUGGAAUGAAUGUUGCUGCUCCCCAUUUUCUUUGACAGCUUCUUCCCAAAUGUCAUGAGAAGCCUCAGGAGGACAGUUUGGGGUAAUCUGAAGUCCAUAUUCCCACCUGUAACCCGUGAGACUGAGUCAAGACCAGCUGACCUUUGAAGCAGAAAGGUUAGUUUUGGAAACACCAAUUUAAUUUCUGUUCAGUUAUCAAUAGUGAGAUUAAAGCAUGUGGUGAAGGAGUCUGAGAGCACAUGUUCUUUCAAAACGUAACUGACAAUGAAACAGCUUGAUGCAAUAGUAAUUUCCUUUGCAGGAAGUAUAAAAAAUGUAAACUCAUUGAAGAAAAACUGUAAGAUAGCAUAUAAAUACAGCAUGCAUUUGUGAAAGUGUGUUUACGCCAGC